RNAcentral lists this ribosomal RNA (430 nucleotides) under uncultured bacterium. RNAcentral describes it as "bacterial SSU rRNA". It matches the Rfam family "Bacterial small subunit ribosomal RNA", at positions 29 to 506 of the family's 1533-position model. The record is from RNAcentral.
AUGAACGCUGGCGGCGUGGAUAAGGCAUGCAAGUCGAGUGGGUUUAGGCCCACGGCAAACGGGUUAGUAAUGCAUAGGAACUUUCCUUGAAGUCAUGGAUAAUCUGGAGAAAUCCAGGACAAUACAUGAUGUGCUCUACGGAGUAAAGAUUUAUCGCUUCAAGAGAGGCCUAUGUCCUAUCAGCUAGUUGGUAGUGUAAUGGACUACCAAGGCUAUGACGGGUAGGGGGUGUGAGAGCACGGCCCCCAACAUUGGGACUGAGAACUGCCCAAACUCCUACGGGAGGCUGCAGUCGAGAAUAUUCCACAAUGGACGAAAGUCUGAUGGAGCGACGCCGCGUGCAGGAUGAAGGCCUUCGGGUCGUAAACUGCUUUUGUAAGGGAAGAAUGCAAAUGACGGUACCUUACGAAUAAGAGGUUACUAACUCUGU